This 694-nucleotide ribosomal RNA is filed under the name uncultured bacterium. Its description in RNAcentral is "bacterial SSU rRNA". It matches the Rfam family "Bacterial small subunit ribosomal RNA", at positions 33 to 773 of the family's 1533-position model. The record is from RNAcentral.
ACGCUGGCGGCAUGCCUAACACAUGCAAGUCGAACGAACCCUUCGGGGUUAGUGGCGCACGGGUGCGUAACGCGUGGGAAUCUGCCCUUUGCUUCGGAAUAACAGUUAGAAAUGACUGCUAAUACCGGAUGAUGUCUUCGGACCAAAGAUUUAUCGGCAAAGGAUGAGCCCGCGUAGGAUUAGGUAGUUGGUGGGGUAAAGGCCUACCAAGCCGACGAUCCUUAGCUGGUCUGAGAGGAUGAUCAGCCACACUGGGACUGAGACACGGCCCAGACUCCUACGGGAGGCAGCAGUGGGGAAUAUUGGACAAUGGACGCAAGUCUGAUCCAGCAAUGCCGCGUGAGUGAUGAAGGCCUUAGGGUUGUAAAGCUCUUUUACCAGGGAUGAUAAUGACAGUACCUGGAGAAUAAGCUCCGGCUAACUCCGUGCCAGCAGCCGCGGUAAUACGGAGGGAGCUAGCGUUGUUCGGAAUUACUGGGCGUAAAGCGCACGUAGGCGGUUACUCAAGUCAGAGGUGAAAGCCCGGGGCUCAACCCCGGAACUGCCUUUGAAACUAGGUAACUAGAAUCCUGGAGAGGUGAGUGGAAUUCCGAGUGUAGAGGUGAAAUUCGUAGAUAUUCGGAAGAACACCAGUGGCGAAGGCGGCUCACUGGACAGGUAUUGACGCUGAGGUGCGAAAGCGUGGGGAGCAAAC